This 253-nucleotide ribosomal RNA is filed under the name uncultured bacterium. RNAcentral describes it as "partial 16S ribosomal RNA". It matches the Rfam family "Bacterial small subunit ribosomal RNA", at positions 524 to 776 of the family's 1533-position model. The record is from RNAcentral.
UACGGAGGGUGCGAGCGUUGUUCGGAAUCACUGGGCGUAAAGGGCGUGUAGGCGGUCCGCUAAGUCUGAUGUGAAAGCCCGGGGCUCACCCCCGGAAGUGCAUUGGAAACUGGCGGACUCGAGUCCCGGAGAGGAGAGUGGAAUUCCUGGUGUAGCGGUGAAAUGCGUAGAUAUCAGGAGGAAUACCGGUGGCGAAAGCGACUCUCUGGACGGUAACUGACGCUGAGGCACGAAGGUCAGGGGAGCAAACGGG